This 484-nucleotide ribosomal RNA is filed under the name uncultured bacterium. RNAcentral describes it as "partial 16S ribosomal RNA". It matches the Rfam family "Bacterial small subunit ribosomal RNA", at positions 30 to 507 of the family's 1533-position model. The record is from RNAcentral.
AUUGAACGCUGGCGGCAGGCCUAACACAUGCAAGUCGAGCGGAUGAAGGGAGCUUUUUCCUGGAUUCAGCGGCGGACGGGUGAGAAAUGCCUAGGAAUCUGCCUUGUAUUUGGGGAUAACGUCCGGAAACGGGCGCUAAUACAGCAUACGUUCUGAUGGUGAAAGUGGUGGAUCUUCGGACCUCACGCUAUCAGAUGUGACUAGGUCGUAUUAGCUAGUUGGUUGGGUAAAGGCCUACCAAGGCGACGAUCCGUAACUGGUCUGAGAGGAUGAUCAGUCACACUGGAACUGAGACACGGUCCAGACUCCUACGGGAGGCAGCAGUGGGGAAUCUUGGACAAUGGGCGAAAGCCUGAUCCAGCCAUGCCGCGUGUGUGAAGAAGGUCUUCGGAUUGUAAAGCACUUUAAGUUGGGAGGAAGGGAAGUAAGUUAAUACAUUGCUGUUUUGACGUUACCAACAGAAUAAGCACCGGCUAACUUCGUG